RNAcentral lists this ribosomal RNA (541 nucleotides) under Entoloma albomagnum. RNAcentral's name for it is "partial small subunit ribosomal RNA". It matches the Rfam family "Bacterial small subunit ribosomal RNA", at positions 356 to 956 of the family's 1533-position model. The record is from RNAcentral. Lineage: Eukaryota; Fungi; Basidiomycota; Agaricomycetes; Agaricales; Entolomataceae.
CAAGAAUAUUAGUCAAUGCUCGCAAGAGUGAACUAGCUAACUGAAAUCACAUUUUUAACUAUGUUGAAAUAUGUGAUAACGUAAGGGAAAAAAAUGAUAUUACCUUACUAUAAGUGUUGUCCAAAACUGGUGCCAGAAGACUCGGUAAGGCCAGAGACGCAAACGUUAGUCGUCCUAAUCAGGCGUAAAGGGUAUGUAGGCUGCUUUAAAACCAAUUAAAGCUAGGAUCAAAUUGAGGAUAAACCAAAUAAUACUUAGUGUAGGGUUGAUAUCUAUAGAUACUAAGGGGAAUACUAAAGGUGAAAGCUUUUUAUCUAAGAGUGAUUGACGCUGAGAAACGAAGGUGAGAAUAGGAAAUAGGAUUAGAUACCCAGAUACCUCUCACUGUCAACGAUGAAUGGUGGUUAUUAGUUUUAAAAAAAAUUGGUAACGAUGUUAACACGAUAACCAUUCCGCCUUGCGAGUACGGUUGCAAAACUGAAACCAAAAAAAUUAGUCGGUCUCGAAGCAAACGAAGUGAAGCAUGUUAUUUAAUUCGAUA